Molecule: ribosomal RNA, 180 nt
Filed under: uncultured Glomeromycotina
Lineage: Eukaryota; Fungi; Glomeromycota
Description: partial small subunit ribosomal RNA
Source: RNAcentral
GGGUUCUACCGUUGGUCGGGCUAUAGUCUGUACUGGCGUGUGGAAUUUCUACCUUCUGGGGAACUAUCAUGUUAUUAAUUUAGCGUGGUAGGAAACCAGAACCUUUACCUUGAAAAAAUUAGAGUGUCCAAAGCAGGCCUAUACACGGUGCCUUGAAUACAUUAGCAUGGGAUAAUGGAA